UGAGGAAUAUUGCUCAAUGGGCGAAAGCCUGAAGCAGCAACGCCGCGUGCGCGAUGAAGGUCUUCGGAUCGUAAAGCGCUUUUGAGAGGGACGAGAUAGGACGGUACCUCUUGAAUAAGUCACGGCUAACUACGUGCCAGCAGCCGCGGUAAAACGUAGGUGGCAAGCGUUAUCCGGAUUCACUGGGCGUAAAGCGAGUGCAGGUGGUUGCGUAAGUUGGAUGUGAAAUUUCCCGGCUUAACCGGGAAGGGUCGUUCAAUACUGCGCGACUUGAGGGCAGAAGAGGGGGGUGGAAUUGCCGGUGUAGUGGUGAAAUGCGUAGAUAUCGGCAGGAACACCUGUGGCGAAAGCGGCCCCCUGGUCUGCUCCUGACACUCAGACUCGAAAGCUAGGGUAGCGAACG
RNAcentral lists this ribosomal RNA (403 nucleotides) under uncultured bacterium. RNAcentral describes it as "bacterial SSU rRNA". It matches the Rfam family "Bacterial small subunit ribosomal RNA", at positions 355 to 774 of the family's 1533-position model. The record is from RNAcentral.